UACAGAGGGGGCAAGCGUUGUUCGGAAUUACUGGGCGUAAAGCGUGCGCAGGCGGCUUUGCAAGACAGAUGUGAAAUCCCCGGGCUUAACCUGGGAACUGCAUUGGUGACUGCAUUGCUGGAGUAUGGCAGAGGGGGGUGGAAUUCCACGUGUAGCAGUGAAAUGCGUAGAGAUGUGGAGGAACACCGAUGGCGAAGGCAGCCCCCUGGGCCAAUACUGACGCUCAUGCACGAAAGCGUGGGGAGCAAACAGG
This 253-nucleotide ribosomal RNA is filed under the name uncultured bacterium. RNAcentral's name for it is "partial 16S ribosomal RNA". It matches the Rfam family "Bacterial small subunit ribosomal RNA", at positions 524 to 776 of the family's 1533-position model. The record is from RNAcentral.